This 69-nucleotide non-coding RNA is filed under the name Haladaptatus sp. RNAcentral describes it as "Fluoride sequence". It matches the Rfam family "Fluoride riboswitch aptamer (crcB RNA motif)". Lineage: Archaea; Methanobacteriati; Methanobacteriota; Halobacteria; Halobacteriales; Haladaptataceae. The record is from RNAcentral.
GACUAACCGGGCGAUGGAGUCCGCCUCCCCCAACCGCCGAACACGUCGGCUGAUGACUCCUUUUCGAGA